This 253-nucleotide ribosomal RNA is filed under the name uncultured bacterium. RNAcentral describes it as "partial 16S ribosomal RNA". It matches the Rfam family "Bacterial small subunit ribosomal RNA", at positions 524 to 776 of the family's 1533-position model. The record is from RNAcentral.
CACGUAGGGACCGAGCGUUGUCCGGAUUCAUUGGGCGUAAAGAGCUCGUAGGCGGCCGCUCAAGUCGAAUGUGAAAACUCGAGGCUCAACCUCGAGCCUGCAUUCGAUACUGGGUGGCUAGAGUCUGGUAGGGGGAUCUGGAAUUCCUGGUGUAGCGGUGAAAUGCGCAGAUAUCGGGAGGAACACCAGCGGCGAAGGCGGGUCUCUGGGCCGGUACUGACGCUGAGGAGCGAAAGCGUGGGGAGCGAACAGG